ACUCUAAUAGUUUAUAAAAACAUUGGUCUUGUAAGCCAAAGAUUGGAGGCCAACUACCUCCUUAGAGUU
This 69-nucleotide transfer RNA is filed under the name Podoces hendersoni (Mongolian ground-jay). Its description in RNAcentral is "tRNA-Thr". It matches the Rfam family "tRNA". From Rfam's summary of the family: Transfer RNA (tRNA) molecules are approximately 80 nucleotides in length. The record is from RNAcentral. Lineage: Eukaryota; Metazoa; Chordata; Aves; Passeriformes; Corvidae.